UACGAGGGGAGCUAGCGUUGUUCGGAAUUACUGGGCGUAAAGGGCGUGUAGGCGGUACCAUAAGUCAGAUGUGAAAGCCCUAGGCUUAACCUAGGAGGUGCAUUUGAUACUGUGGAACUAGAGAUCGAGAGAGGUAAGUGGAAUUACGAGUGUAGAGGUGAAAUUCGUAGAUAUUCGUAAGAACACCAGUGGCGAAGGCGACUUACUGGCUCGAUACUGACGCUAAGGCGCGAAAGCAUGGGGAGCAAACAGG
This 253-nucleotide ribosomal RNA is filed under the name uncultured bacterium. RNAcentral's name for it is "partial 16S ribosomal RNA". It matches the Rfam family "Bacterial small subunit ribosomal RNA", at positions 524 to 776 of the family's 1533-position model. The record is from RNAcentral.